UUAUAAAACCUAUCGUUGCUGAAAAAAAUCUCAUAAAAUAAAAGCAAGAAAACAAUAAACAUUAAAGAUAUGGGAAAGAAAGCAUAAUUGCUUUCUUUUGUUCAUGUAUGUGUAGUGUUGACUCCAACUGUCUUUAAACUUCCCGCUUGUUCCUCAGUCGAGUAGGUUUUAAGACUGAAGGUUGCACUGUUUGUUUUUGCUUUGCAUUUCUCAUUGGGAUCUUCCUUAUGAUUACGUCUUCACACGCCCUGCCGUCCCAACUUCUUUCCCUUUGAUGAGAUUUCUUCCUUCUUGCGCUAUUCAUUGGUGACAGAUCUCCUUUUAUUGAAGCGUCUGCUCGGCAUUGGUUUAAAAUAUCCUCUUCUUCCCCUUCUUCAUAUAAGUGUCUUCCUAGGAGAAUUGGAUUUGGCAUUACCGUCGCUUCCAAUAGUUGUCUUUCCAAGAUUACUGAAGCUGCUGUGACGAUCUGUCCCGCCUGCGACUUUGCAUUCCUCUGCUGCUUCUGAUUCUGACUAGUUGAUGGUAGCGCAUUUGCGAUUAUUCAGCCUGCGACUUUGCAUUCCUUUGUUGCUUCUGAUUCUGACUAGUUGAUGGCAGCGCAUUUGCGAUUCUGUCACCCACUGAUGCUUCGGCUAAGCUUAGUUGACGAUUAUUGACUGUUUCAUUUUUGUUGAACUUUGCUGUCGCUACAGUUGUAGUAACAGAUUUUGCGUUAUUUCUUGGAACAAAAACUGGAGCAUUAUGGUUUAAGAAACUGUUUUGAGUUGGUGUUUGAUUUAAAGUUGCACGACAGUUGUUAUUUGUAGUUUUCCUUUGAAAUUUUCGUUUGGAACAAAAAGUGGAGCAUUAUGGUUUAAGAAACUGUUUUGAGUUGGUGUUUGAUACAGAGAUGCACGACAGUUGUUAUCUGUAGUUUUCCUUUGAAAUUUUCGCUUGACUGAAUAUCGCUGUCCUCUCCACUAUAUUCUUGGUCAUCUUCUUCCGAUGAAUAAGCAGCAAAACCUUUACACCAGCUCUCCUCAUCAUCGUAAUCUCGUUGGUCUUUCCACAGUUUCGAUUUACUGGCUAG
RNAcentral lists this long non-coding RNA (1069 nucleotides) under Nicotiana benthamiana. RNAcentral describes it as "long non-coding RNA (NBEN_LNC019743)". Lineage: Eukaryota; Viridiplantae; Streptophyta; Magnoliopsida; Solanales; Solanaceae. The record is from RNAcentral.